CGUGGGUCCCACUCCCACAAUCAAAUAUUAUUUUCCUCCACUCACUCCCUCUCACCCGUUCUCUCACGCUCUCUCCCCCUCAUUCACGUUUCUUUUCUUCCUUCCAACUACAACUUCUUCUUUCUUUUCUCUGCAACUCACGCACAACACCUUCUUCUUCUUCAAUUUAUUUCUGCUGCAAAACCCAUCACCAUCACUUCCUUUUCUCUUCACAACAGCACCAGUUACUCCUUCUCCUCUCAUGGCCGCCACCACAGCGAGCCUUCUCCUCUGCUCACGCAAACCACCACUUCCAUGCCUCUUCACCGCGAACGCACCACCACCAUUGGUGACCGCCGCCGCCUCUCCUCAGUUCUCCAGCAAGCAUGGCGGCCACAACCGCCAUCACCCACUCCCAGCGCCAUGAACGGCGCCACCAACGCAAGGACAAGAGAGAAAACGAAACCCUAAAAACCGCCACCUUCCAACUCCGAUCUCCGGCGAACCACCGAGUUUUUGGAGAAACCAACCACACCAUGGAACUCCCCUCGACGUGCGCUGCAAAACCCCUAAAGAAAUUUCUGAUUCCGACAACCUUCGUCGGGAACUGCCGCAGGCCACCGUGACCACCGUCUUCUCCGGCCAACCUUCGCCGGAGAUGUCACUGAACUCAGAACCAGGAAGCUCUCCUCCUCCUCUUGCUGAAUUGAUUAUCAAUUUUGGAGCUUGAUGGUCCUCAGAGGAAGGCAGAACCUGCUGUUAGAGAGGAUGAAGAAGCAAUACAGAACCUUAGCCAUGAGGCUUAAGGUCGAAAAGGAUAUAUUUUUCUGUUUUGGGUAUCGUUUUAAUUCUUGUAGGGCUGAAAUUUUUUUUGAAAAUGUAAGAGCAUUGGAGAUGGUUAAUCUCUAGUUAGUUAUGUUGUUUAUGUAUAGAUUACCUCUGGAUGAGCAUGGGUUCGAUAUUAGAUUAGGAGAAAUUUCUGCUGCUGUUGUCUUGUGAUUGUAGUAGCCACUGUUCUCCCAAAAUUCGUGUGUUUCGGUUCAGAUUUUGGAACUGUGUUCUUCAUAAAAGUUGUAGCAUUUUCUGUUAGAAAACUUUUGCCACUGGUUGCAUGUAAUUUCUAUUUCUCUAGCUCAAGUUAUACGCAUUUUAGUGAGCACGGGUUAAGCUGUCCCGUUUCUCACGAACUGCUGUAGUAUUUGAUUUUUCCUGAAUUUUGUACUUCGAAUUUGGACUUGAAAAUUUAUGAGGAUUUACAAAACCUGUAGAUGAAGUCAGGAUAAAAA
Lotus japonicus is the source of this 1265-nucleotide long non-coding RNA. RefSeq lists it as uncharacterized. Lineage: Eukaryota; Viridiplantae; Streptophyta; Magnoliopsida; Fabales; Fabaceae. The transcript has 2 exons. The record is from RefSeq and is a predicted model, not a curated record.